RNAcentral lists this ribosomal RNA (448 nucleotides) under uncultured soil bacterium. Its description in RNAcentral is "bacterial SSU rRNA". It matches the Rfam family "Bacterial small subunit ribosomal RNA", at positions 26 to 518 of the family's 1533-position model. The record is from RNAcentral.
AGAACGAACGCUGGCGGCAGGCUUAACACAUGCAAGUCGAACGGUUGUAGCAAUACAGCAGUGGCAGACGGGUGAGUAACACGUGGGAACCUUCCUAGGGGUACGGAACAACUCAGGGAAACUUGAGCUAAUACCGUAUACGUCCGUGAGGAGAAAGAUUUAUCGCCCCUAGACGGGCCCGCGUAGGAUUAGGUAGUUGGUGAGGUAACGGCUCACCAAGCCUACGAUCCUUAGCUGAUCUGAGAGGAUGAUCAGCCACACUGGGACUGAGACACGGCCCAGACUCCUACGGGAGGCAGCAGUGGGGAAUCUUGGACAAUGGGCGCAAGCCUGAUCCAGCCAUGCCGCGUGAGUGAAGAAGGCCUUCGGGUUGUAAAGCUCUUUUACCAGGGACGAUUAUGACGGUACCUGAUGAAUAAGCCACGGCUAACUACGUGCCAGCAGCCGC